RNAcentral lists this long non-coding RNA (542 nucleotides) under Gossypium raimondii (Peruvian cotton). RNAcentral's name for it is "long non-coding RNA (GRAI_LNC008494)". Lineage: Eukaryota; Viridiplantae; Streptophyta; Magnoliopsida; Malvales; Malvaceae. The record is from RNAcentral.
UGGCAGUUGGCGGUGGUUGCUGGCAAAGCAGGUGAGCAGAAGACCAAGUGUGGUUGCGGUGCUACGCUAGGAAGGGCGGCUAGGUUUUUUUUUGUUUCUUUCUUUUUUGUUUUUUGGCUGAAAAUAGUUUAGGUUUUGGGCUUGUUAGGCCAUUAGGGUUUUAAUUUAUUUGGGCUGAUGUUUGGGUCAUGGGUGUUGGGUUACUGUUUAGGUGGGUUGAGGUUUGGGUGUAUGUAUUUUGUUUGUUUGUAAUGGGCCCGGGUGAAAUUGGGCUUCUACAGUUUAGGAUUGGGAGAAAUAAGGGGUUUAGCAAUGUUUUUUUUGGUCUUUUAGGAUUUCUUUUUCCGUGUUUUGAUUUUUUUUAUUCUGUUGUGAAUUUCUUUUGGGAGGGGCCUUUAGAGGUUUAUUUAGUGGGAUCAAAUGUUUAAAUUUUUACGUGUGCUCAUAUUGUCUUGUGGAGCGAAAAAUCUAUCCAAACAAAAAAUGAGUGUGCCUAAAUUGACAUUUCCUUUUUUUAUUCAGACAAAGAUUCCACCUUAAAC